This 245-nucleotide unclassified non-coding RNA is filed under the name plant metagenome. RNAcentral's name for it is "partial contains small subunit ribosomal RNA, internal transcribed spacer 1, and 5.8S ribosomal RNA". The stretch from base 1 to 54 matches the Rfam family "Eukaryotic small subunit ribosomal RNA", at positions 1778 to 1831 of the family's 1831-position model. The record is from RNAcentral.
GGAAGUAAAAGUCGUAACAAGAUUUCCGUAGGUGAACCUGCGGAGGGAUCAUUAUCGAGUGUUACAACUCCCAAACCCUUUGUGAACCAUACCUAUCGUUGCUUCGGCGGGAUCGCCCCGGCGCCUCUGCGCGCCGGGCAAGGCGCCCGCCGGGGGCCCGAAACUAUUGCUUUUUCAGUGGUAUUCUCUCUGAGUGGCACAAGCAAAAUAAAUUAAAACUUUCAACAACGGAUCUCUUGGUUCUG